RNAcentral lists this unclassified non-coding RNA (314 nucleotides) under plant metagenome. RNAcentral's name for it is "partial contains 5.8S ribosomal RNA, internal transcribed spacer 2, and large subunit ribosomal RNA". The stretch from base 1 to 105 matches the Rfam family "5.8S ribosomal RNA", at positions 50 to 154 of the family's 154-position model. The record is from RNAcentral.
GAAAUGCGAUAAUUAAUGUGAAUUGCAGAAUUCAGUGAAUCAUCGAGUCUUUGAACGCACAUUGCGCCCCCUGGUAUUCCGGGGGGCAUGCCUGUCCGAGCGUCAUUGCUGCCCUCAAGCACGGCUUGUGUGUUGGGCUUCCGUCCCUGGCGACGGGGACGGGCCCAAAAGGCAGUGGCGGCACCAUGUCUGGUCCUCGAGCGUAUGGGGCUUUGUCACCCGCUCCCGUAGGUCCAGCUGGCAGCUAGCCUCGCAACCAAUCUUUUUAACCAGGUUGACCUCGGAUCAGGUAGGGAUACCCGCUGAACUUAAGC